Molecule: ribosomal RNA, 1479 nt
Filed under: Klebsiella pneumoniae
Lineage: Bacteria; Pseudomonadati; Pseudomonadota; Gammaproteobacteria; Enterobacterales; Enterobacteriaceae
Description: bacterial SSU rRNA
Rfam family: Bacterial small subunit ribosomal RNA
Source: RNAcentral
GGCUCAGAUUGAACGCUGGCGGCAGGCCUAACACAUGCAAGUCGAGCGGUAGCACAGAGAGCUUGCUCUCGGGUGACGAGCGGCGGACGGGUGAGUAAUGUCUGGGAAACUGCCUGAUGGAGGGGGAUAACUACUGGAAACGGUAGCUAAUACCGCAUAACGUCGCAAGACCAAAGUGGGGGACCUUCGGGCCUCAUGCCAUCAGAUGUGCCCAGAUGGGAUUAGCUAGUAGGUGGGGUAACGGCUCACCUAGGCGACGAUCCCUAGCUGGUCUGAGAGGAUGACCAGCCACACUGGAACUGAGACACGGUCCAGACUCCUACGGGAGGCAGCAGUGGGGAAUAUUGCACAAUGGGCGCAAGCCUGAUGCAGCCAUGCCGCGUGUGUGAAGAAGGCCUUCGGGUUGUAAAGCACUUUCAGCGGGGAGGAAGGCGAUAAGGUUAAUAACCUUGUCGAUUGACGUUACCCGCAGAAGAAGCACCGGCUAACUCCGUGCCAGCAGCCGCGGUAAUACGGAGGGUGCAAGCGUUAAUCGGAAUUACUGGGCGUAAAGCGCACGCAGGCGGUCUGUCAAGUCGGAUGUGAAAUCCCCGGGCUCAACCUGGGAACUGCAUUCGAAACUGGCAGGCUAGAGUCUUGUAGAGGGGGGUAGAAUUCCAGGUGUAGCGGUGAAAUGCGUAGAGAUCUGGAGGAAUACCGGUGGCGAAGGCGGCCCCCUGGACAAAGACUGACGCUCAGGUGCGAAAGCGUGGGGAGCAAACAGGAUUAGAUACCCUGGUAGUCCACGCCGUAAACGAUGUCGAUUUGGAGGUUGUGCCCUUGAGGCGUGGCUUCCGGAGCUAACGCGUUAAAUCGACCGCCUGGGGAGUACGGCCGCAAGGUUAAAACUCAAAUGAAUUGACGGGGGCCCGCACAAGCGGUGGAGCAUGUGGUUUAAUUCGAUGCAACGCGAAGAACCUUACCUGGUCUUGACAUCCACAGAACUUUCCAGAGAUGGAUUGGUGCCUUCGGGAACUGUGAGACAGGUGCUGCAUGGCUGUCGUCAGCUCGUGUUGUGAAAUGUUGGGUUAAGUCCCGCAACGAGCGCAACCCUUAUCCUUUGUUGCCAGCGGUCCGGCCGGGAACUCAAAGGAGACUGCCAGUGAUAAACUGGAGGAAGGUGGGGAUGACGUCAAGUCAUCAUGGCCCUUACGACCAGGGCUACACACGUGCUACAAUGGCAUAUACAAAGAGAAGCGACCUCGCGAGAGCAAGCGGACCUCAUAAAGUAUGUCGUAGUCCGGAUUGGAGUCUGCAACUCGACUCCAUGAAGUCGGAAUCGCUAGUAAUCGUAGAUCAGAAUGCUACGGUGAAUACGUUCCCGGGCCUUGUACACACCGCCCGUCACACCAUGGGAGUGGGUUGCAAAAGAAGUAGGUAGCUUAACCUUCGGGAGGGCGCUUACCACUUUGUGAUUCAUGACUGGGGUGAAGUCGUACA